Polyodon spathula (Mississippi paddlefish) is the source of this 158-nucleotide long non-coding RNA. RefSeq lists it as uncharacterized. The record is from RefSeq and is a predicted model, not a curated record. NCBI's taxonomy places the organism in Eukaryota, Metazoa, Chordata, Actinopteri, Acipenseriformes, Polyodontidae. The transcript has 3 exons.
ACAAGGAGCUAAGGGGCUCCCAGGUCCUCCAGGACGCCCCGGGGUUAAAGGCAAUCGAGGACUCCAAGGCCUCAGAGGUUCUCCGGGACCCAAAGGGAAGCAGGGCAAUAUUGGGCCACCUGGUCGCCAUGGGAGCAGAGGCUUACCAGGUCUUCCUG